GCUUUCUUCACCUCAGUGUAGUUUUCCAUCACCUGUCAAGAGCACAUUUGGAGAGAGCAAUGGAGAAAACCAGCCUGUUGUGUUCAAGAAUUGGGGAUUUACUGCAAAAUGAUGGUUGAGACUUAGAGCAGCCGUGAACAGGGCAGUGCUGUGGGACUGAGGAGGCAGGAGAGGGGACAAAGACAAAGAGUUUGUGUUUGGCAAGAAAGGGUCUGGGCUAAACCUGUGUGCGAGGUUUCAACCCUGAGACACUUUAAGUAUAGCCUGGAGGUCUUCUUGCUUUUCUGGAAAACGCUGCUGCCUGGGCUGUUAGAAACAAAAUAAUUUCUUUCUUUGUUUCCUUGAGGCAGUAAAAUUCAAUGUUGUCUCCACUGUUGAGCAGGACUGUGCCCAAGCUGGAGAAAACUUUGUUUGUUCUAAACUAAAAAUGAUCUAAAUUUUCAGAGGUUAUUUAAUUAACUUAUUUAAGACUGAAUAUUUUACAGCUCUCUGGAGUAAAAAGAACAUCUGUGAAAGUAAAGAUGCAAGCAAUGAUCUUGGAGUAUAUUGCCAAUUCCAACUGAGAAAUCUCAGGGAGUCAAUUACAGUCUUGAAAUUCUAGAACAUGCAAUCCACACUUCAGAAAUAGGGUUUAAUUUGAAUCUUUUCCUGCUGCAGGAGGCUGUAAAUAUCACAUGGAGUUGCUAAUGAAUGAGACAUGAUGAAAAUGGGAGAAUGGAUUUUAAUCCUCAAAAAAAACCCACCAGAAAUUUGGGUAUUUCAUAACCCAAGCAUUCCCUGGGGACACCAUACUCCUGUUCCUUGGAAUGGCACCUGGAUUUCGGGGCUGCAGCUGCCUUGAGCAAGCUUUUUUUCCUGCUUUUUCUCUGCUGAAUAUUCACAGGUGUCAAGGAUGAAAGGAACGUAAUUCAGCAGAUUCCUUUGGAGCAGCAGUUGUUCUCCUAGCUGACAGAAGGACCAGAAAAAUUGGUAAGAAAACUUCUUCUCUUAACUGGAAAGUGUGUCUUCAAUUCUCUCCCUUUCUCUUUUUUUCUUUUUUUUUUUUUUUUUUUUUUAAUUCGCUACAUUAAUAAUCUGAAAAUGCAUAUUGGGACUUUUGAUGGUGAAGUGUUGAACAGAUAAAACAGGUA
RNAcentral lists this long non-coding RNA (1130 nucleotides) under Parus major (Great Tit). Its description in RNAcentral is "lncRNA (ENSPMJG00000015393.1)". Lineage: Eukaryota; Metazoa; Chordata; Aves; Passeriformes; Paridae. The record is from RNAcentral.